Molecule: RNA transcript, 2448 nt
Organism: Mangifera indica (mango)
Lineage: Eukaryota; Viridiplantae; Streptophyta; Magnoliopsida; Sapindales; Anacardiaceae
Gene name: receptor-like protein 4
Exons: 10
Source: RefSeq, a predicted model, not a curated record
UUAUUUUUUAAGUGAAAUGCAACUGUUUACCUGUACUCCUUUCCAGUCUUCACUCUCAAAAGGCAAAGCAAGAGCAAAGAUUGAUAGAUAGAUUGUGAAAUGAAGCUGUAGAGACUGGAAAAAAGGAAAGCAAGUGAGCGAAAGAAUUCUUAAACUAAAAUGCUAAGAUUUACUCUCGUAUGGCUUCUUGUUUUCUGUUCGGUGUUGGAUACUUGUUCAGCUCGACGUGCACCUUUUGCAAUGCGAAUAAGCUGUGGAGCUCGUCAAAAUGUCCAUUCUAAGCCUACAAAUACACUGUGGUAUAAGGAUUUUGCAUAUUCAGGAGGCAUACCAACUAAUGCAACACGUCCUAGUUCAAUCACUCCUCCUCUUGAAACACUUCGCUAUUUUCCUCUAUCUGAAGGUCCUGAAAAUUGCUACAUAAUUAACAGAGUGCCAAAGGGACAUUACAAUGUGAGAACCUUCUUUGGAUUGGUUAAACUGCCUAAUUUUGACACUGAACCUCUGUUUGACAUAUCAGUUGAAGGCACCCAAAUUUAUUCCUUGAAAUCAGGUUGGCAUGGCCACGAUGACCAAGCAUUUGCUGAAGCCCUUGUGUUUCUUACAGAUGGCACUGUCUCUAUAUGCUUCCAUAGCACUGGUCAUGGAGAUCCAGCGAUCCUUGCACUUGAAAUUCUUCAAGUUGACAGUAAAUCAUAUUACUUUGGUCCAGAGUGGGGUGAGGGUGUUAUCCUCAGAACAGUCACAAGACUGAGUUGUGGUAAUGGGAAACCAAAGUUUGAUGUAGAUUAUAAAGGGGAUCAUUGGGGUGGGGAUAGAUUUUGGAGUCCCCUUCAAACUUUUGGUCAGAGUUCUGAUCAAAUCAGGUCUACUGAAACUACCAUUAAACAGAAUGCAAAAGCCCCGAACUAUUAUCCGGACGCUCUUUAUCAAACUGCUCUUGUUAGCACUGAUAGUCAGCCAAAAUUGGCUUAUAUGAUGGAUGUGGAUCCCAACAAAAACUAUUCAGUUUGGUUACACUUUGCAGAGAUUGAUGAUAAAGUCAGAACCACAGGGGAAAGGGUAUUUGAUAUCCUGAUAAAUGGUGAUAUUGCAUUUGAAGAUGUAGAUGUUGUAAAAAUGAGUGGGGGUCGGUAUACAGCACUUGUGCUUAACACAACUGUUGCUAUUAAUGGGAGAACUUUAACCAUCAGUCUGCAGCCUAAGGGGGGAAGUCAUGCCAUAAUCAAUGCCAUUGAGGUCUUUGAGGUUCUAGUUGCUGAGUCGAAAACUUUGCCAGAUGAAGUGAGAGCUUUACAGACAUUGAAGAAUUCAUUGGGGCUUCCGCAUAGGCUGGGUUGGAAUGGUGAUCCUUGUGUUCCCAAACAACAUCCAUGGAGUGGAGCAGAUUGUCAAUUGGACAAAACUAGCAACAAAUGGGUCAUUGAUGGACUUGGUCUUGACAACCAAGGUCUGAGGGGUUUCUUGCCAAAUGAUGUAUCCAGAUUGCGUCAUCUACAAAGCAUAAAUUUGAGUGGAAACAGCAUUCAUGGAGCUAUUCCAUCCUCACUUGGAACAAUAGCUAGCUUAGAAGUGCUGGACCUCUCAUACAAUUUCUUAAAUGGAUCGAUUCCUGAAAGCUUAGGAAAGCUGACAUCAUUACGUAGAUUGAACCUCAAUGGCAACUCUCUGUCUGGAAGAGUUCCAGCUGCAUUAGGAGGAAGCCUUUUGCAUCAUAGAGCAAGCUUCAACUUUACUGAUAAUUCAGGUCUAUGUGGUAUACCUGGCUUGCCUACAUGUGAGUUUCGCCUUUCGACUGGGGCAAAGAUUGGCAUCGGAUUUGGUGUUCUCAUCAUUGUCUUUCUCCUCGUUUUAUGUUCAGUAAUUUGGUGGAAAAGGCGGCAAAAUAUUCAACGAGCACAGCAGAUUGCUGCAAGAGGUGCUCCUUAUGCAAAAGCAAGGACCCAAUCGUCACAUGAUAUUCAGUUGGCAAAGCAUCAGUAUCAUCACGGUGCUCGACAUGCAUCAGAGACUGGACCUAGUUUGCUAUCAUGAAUAUAGAUUGACAAUUAUUGACCUGUAGUUCUCUUUAUGUAAAGUCUGCUCCUGUUUCUGAUUCCUGGAUUCUGAUCUGCUUCCCAACAACCAUAUAUAAACCAACUCUAGAUUCGGCUUUGCUUGCCCUCAAACUUGCGGAAUUGCUUAAUGUUCCAGUAAAUAUCUGUUUAGUAUAGUGAAACCAGACAUGCACCUUUAAGAGGUCAGGCACCCCCCCUUGUGGCAGCAAUUCUGAAAAGUCAGCUCCAUAAUGUCAGAACUCAGAAGAAAGGUCUCUUUAAGAUGAUAGAAGGUUGGUGCUUGUGUCUUCGGUUAGGCUCUAACUCUAAACUCUUUAAAUUAUAGAAAAGAUGUAAUCGUACAUCAUGGAUAAACCUUAAUAUUCUGUUCUAUAAAUAUGUUCCUUCUCUA